GCGAGCGGAUGUUGUCGUAGUUAUGGCUUGGUAAGUGAUGGAACAAGGUGAGAUGCGCCUUGAGGAAGCUACGUUCCUUGGGAAAGUGUUCCUCCCGCAAUGUGUCGAAGAAGUGCUGGGAUUUGGGGUCAAGGACUAGGGUUAGAACGAUUGGGGCGGUCACGGUGCUGGCCAUAGCUGGUGUGUAUUGUCGAGUGGAUGCAUCUCUCGUAGCUAGCGGUGCAAGGCUUGUGAUCAUUCCUAGCUGUGGUUCCAGCAACAAUCCCAAUUCCGUCUUCUGAGCUCUAAAAUACUGUUGCAGUUUGCCUUGACCUCGGAGAAAUUGAGCGGAAGCUGUUCAAAGUUAAAGACAUUCUUAGCGACUCUGCAGACCUAGUGAAUGAGUAGAGAAAAAACUCUAACCUGAUUUUGUACUUCAGAUGGAGUGCAAGAAUUCCAUUCCCCCUUCCGCUUGUUCCCAAGCUUCUCUGCGUACUGAGAACAGAUUUCUUCCAAGUGUCACAUGAACUUAGCAAGUUGGUUUGCCAUAUGUCAAGUGACGCUGCUUCCGCAAGGGGACCAAGACUUGACACAGCGAAAAUUGCUCGUAACGUAUUCUUGGAUGAAGCUUAACAUCCAAAACAGAAGUACAGCGAUACUUGGUGCAAAUCUUAACUUUACACCAAAUAGCCGGCAGAUUCACAUUCUGUUUGCGACUCGGUUAUCGAAAAUGCAGAGGAAUCAUUAUUCUAUGCAACAGUAGAAGGAUUGUACAUCCUCUAGCAAUACGGAAGCCUGAUUCUGAGAUUGAAUCAGAAUGGUUCCAUCCGGUACUGUCACAGGACACUAAACACGGUUAUGAUAUUCUUCUUGUAGAGUAAACAAAGUCAGCCGACUGCCCACGAUGAAAAAUUAUGUUCAAUCAUUCACAGAAUUGUGGUGCAAGCAAGGAAAAUCUCGUAAAAGGUCGUAUGCACAACUAAACAAAUUUCUUAAUUGCAGGGUUCUAAUUUGUUGGAAAUUUAGAGUGUCUCAAGCUUGUAGAUUUGGUCAUUCUUUGUUAUGCUUUAGGAAACCAUUUGCAUAUAUCUGCUUACGAGAUUUCUCAGGAGUCUGUUAUUUUUCUUCUUUUUUCUUCACAUAAUGAGGGAUCUUCAUUUCUGUUCA
Long non-coding RNA from Physcomitrium patens, 1146 nucleotides. RefSeq lists it as uncharacterized. The record is from RefSeq and is a predicted model, not a curated record. Lineage: Eukaryota; Viridiplantae; Streptophyta; Bryopsida; Funariales; Funariaceae.